This is a non-coding RNA of Salvia hispanica, 306 nucleotides long. The record is from RefSeq and is a predicted model, not a curated record. NCBI's taxonomy places the organism in Eukaryota, Viridiplantae, Streptophyta, Magnoliopsida, Lamiales, Lamiaceae.
GGGCGAGUGAGGCCAAAGCGAGUAAUUGAGUUGAGACAUAAGCAUAUCAGGUUGAACGUCAAGAGGAUGGAGAAAUGAUCGGAGUCGAUGCUACUAAAUAAUCCAGUGGAUCUUUUCACGAUUCGUGUCUUCAUACACGAAGUCGUCUAGUAUGGACUUAUUCCGCUGCUCUUUUGUGAAGUGAGACAUCUUAGAAUCUCACCUUCGAACUCUGAUUUAUUGAUGUAAUGUUUAUUCUAGUUCUAAGACCAUGUAAUGGUACAUUUGACUUCUAUUCUAUGAUAUGAUCGACUUGGCCUUCGGGCA